AGGAAUUGGCUAAAUCUCAUUUUACUGGAUGUCCGCUGAAGCAUGAUCACAAGACAUCCAGCAUGACGGAUGAGUACUUCCUCAGGCAUGAAUCAUGGCAGACCAGGAAAAGACAAUGAUUUACUACUUUGAAGGGCAGGCGUGUAUGUGAUUAAAGGAUAUAAGUGCAGGACUCCAAGAUUUACUUCCUUCCUGCUCCAUCCAGCAGGGAUACCUGAGACAAAAUCCAUCUGCUGAAGGAAACUAUUCCAUUGUCUUCUCUAGAAGAAAAACUUAUGAAGAAAAUGUUAUGAAGGAGUGCAAAUGAGAGAUAAGAUCUGUCAAAUGGCAAUGGAGCUAUCGAGGCCAAGUGUGACUGCCAGGAAGGAGCUGGGAGCAGCCAAAGAGGCUGAGCAUGUCAGACUUCUCUCCCAGCCCGCCACACACACUUAAAACCUAAAGGAAAUAAGCAGGGAUCAAUGGGAGGAAGGGAGCCAACCAGGUAAAGGGGAAGGUUCCAGUGAAGAUGGCUGUGUGAAAGUUCAUAGAGGAACUUAGCUCACCUACUUUUAUCCCAACAUUGAUCUAUAAAGAGUACCAGAUUGAACAAUGACCAAAAAAUCUAAACAUAUUCAUCAGGAAGUUCCUUCAUUCAGCUCAGGGAUACACAGAAAGACUGCCAGAGAAACGAACAUAAACACAGGUAAACAGAACAAAAGCCCUUGCUAGUGCCCUGAACAAAGAAGUCCAAGGCUAUACCCUGACUGAAAAAGCCCUAAGAAGGAUGGAAGCCAGUGGAAGCACUCCUACAGAGAACCCACAGGGAUGAUAGAAAGACACAGGCAGUGCCUUGAUUGGUGACAGUCAACAACAGAACCCUGAAGAAGGAAAUUGAAUCCUGUCAACAUUUUGAGCAUAAACACAUUAUGGGAAAGUGGAAGUCAGUGGCAAGAAUUCAGAAAAGCAAGGUCAGAACCAACCAGUGUAGGAUUAUUCCAUCCAAGAAGCUUUGAAGGGUUGUAUCUGACUCUAAAACAAUUUUCUAAUUCUGCAAGUGAGGCUGGAGACAUGACUAAAUAGAAAAAGAGAUUGAACAACAGGAAGAAAUAUUGUGGGUCAAGAGCUGCCCAGAAUAAAAUAAUAAUGCCAUCAAAAUUUCAAAUGGGGUUUCAGAGGGUGAAAAAAAAAUGAUAGCCACAAGGACUACAAGGAAAAGAGUUCUGGAGGAAUGAAUUGGAAUGAGAAUAAAUAUUUUACAAUGCUAGGUAGAAAACCUUACCCAAAUAAUGGAAUCUCAGAAAAUGGGAAUGAAAUAACCAGAACUUAAAGACUACACAAAAUAAUGAGAAAUAUUAGAAAAUCAAAAGAUUAAAAAAGAAGAAAAUAAAGUAUCUACUACCAAAAAAAAUUGACCUGGAAAUUAGACUUCAAGGAAAGUCAACUUAAGAAUUAUUGCAAUCCCUGAAAACUUGUGACCCAAAAAUAUCAGCCUUGAUAUCAUAUUUUCAGAAAUCAAACUAAAAUUGCUCAUGCUUUAUAAAUGAAUGAUAGAUAAAAUGGAAUAAAGUCAAGAAAAUCUCUGACUUCAAAAUGUUCUAAAGUUCUACCAGGAUUAUGCCAAAUUCCAUAGAACACAGCAUUUUCCAGUUGGAAGGAACCUUAGUGGCUAUCUAUAGUAGUUCAACCCAUACAUGAAAGGAGUUCCCCCAGCACAUAACAGACACAAGUGGUCAUCCAGUUUAUGCUUGAUGAUCUCUAAGGAGGAAAACCCUUCUACCCACCAGUGCAUCUGGUUUUACUGUUAUAUAAACCCAUUUCUUAGAAAGUAUUUUUUCCUGUAUCAAACUGAUAUUUGCCUUUUUGCAACUUCUCUUCAUUGUUAUUGGUUCAGCUCUCUGAGGCUAAAUGGAUUAAUAUAUGCAACAUAAUCUCAGAAGUCAAAUAACUGGGAAAGGCUUCUAUAGAGUAGAAUUUUGGAGGAAGCUAAGGAUUAUGAGAUGUAGAAAUAAGAAAAUAUAAGGGCACAUAGUUGGAAGAUGGAGUGCCCAGUUCCAAAAUUAACAAUUAUGCUGGCGGGAUUGUAGAGUGGGUAAAAGGGAAUAGGUUGAAAUGUCUAGGAAGUGAACUGAAACUAGGCUGUGAGAGAAUUUAGAUGGCAAAAUGAGGCAUUGGUGUUUUAUCCUAGAGGCAAUAGAAUGCCAAUGAGCAGGGAAGUGACAUGAUUAGGAAGAUUAUUUUGACAGCUAUGUGGAAUAUGGAUUGGAGAAGAGAGAAUAAAAGCUGAGAGUCCAAUUAAAAGGCUAGUGCAAUGGUCCAGGCAAGAAGCAAUGAGGUAUGAACAAGAAUGGUGACUGCAUGAGAAGAAAGAAGGGGUCAAAUGUGAAUGUUGUGGAAGUAAAAUUGAAACAGCACUUGAAUGGAUAUGGGAGAUGAGAAAGAUUGAAGAGUUGAGGAUGACUCUGAGUUUGUGAACCUGAAUGACAGAAGGAAAGUGGUACCCUCAACAGACACAGAAGGGCAUUUUCAGAAAGAAUGGCCUUGUGGGGAAAAUAGAAGUUCUGUUUAUGAUUUGUUGAGUUUAAGAUCUUCAUGGGGCAACAAGUAAUUUGAAAUGUCCAACAGGCAGCUGGUAAUGUGGGACGGAAUUCAGGAAAGUGAUUAGGACUGGAUUAUAUAGAUUUUGGAGUCAUCUGCAUAGAAAUGAUAAUUUAAACAUUGGGAGCUGAUGAGGUCACUAAAAUAAAGAAAGGAGAGAGAAAGAAGAGGGCCAAGACAGAAACACAGGGGGCAUUCAUUGUUAGGGGUCAUGAUAUAAAUGAUUCAGCAAAGGAGACUGAGAAGUAGUCAAAAAGGUAAGAGGGGAAAUAGACAAAAAUAUUAUUAAAAUAAACCUAGAGAGGACAUAGUAUUAGGGAGGAAAACAAAGUUUAAGAAUGUCAAAUGCUUCAACUUUUGAUCUAGGACGAUUUGGACAGAGGAAAAAAACCCAAAGGAUUUAAAAAUGGCUUAUCUGUUCAUUAAAUAAAGCAAAUCGUACAGGAAGAAAUAUUGCUAAAAUUUUUUAGUUGCUGCAUACAAUGAUGUAAAAAAUAGGCUAUGUUUCAUCACCCUGGCCUUCCCUCUAAUUAAUCCAAAUUAAAUGAAAUUUUACUGUACUGAAAAACAACCAGCAAUUCCUGUUCUCUUUGGCAAUGAAUGUGUCAAUUAUGCAUCUAUGUUGGUUAUGUGUUAAUGCUGCCUG
Molecule: long non-coding RNA, 3220 nt
Organism: Dromiciops gliroides (monito del monte)
Lineage: Eukaryota; Metazoa; Chordata; Mammalia; Microbiotheria; Microbiotheriidae
Exons: 5
Source: RefSeq, a predicted model, not a curated record